Molecule: ribosomal RNA, 253 nt
Filed under: uncultured bacterium
Lineage: Bacteria
Description: partial 16S ribosomal RNA
Rfam family: Bacterial small subunit ribosomal RNA
Source: RNAcentral
GACGUAGGGCGCGAGCGUUGUCCGGAUUUAUUGGGCGUAAAGAGCUCGUAGGCGGCUUGUCGCGUCGGCUGUGAAAACCCGCGGCUCAACUGUGGGCGGGCAGCUGAUACGGGCAGGCUGGAGUUCGGUAGGGGAGACUGGAAUUCCUGGUGUAGCGGUGAAAUGCGCAGAUAUCAGGAGGAACACCGGUGGCGAAGGCGGGUCUCUGGACAGUUCCUGGCGCUGAGGCACGAAGGUCAGGGGAGCAAACGGG